This 253-nucleotide ribosomal RNA is filed under the name uncultured bacterium. RNAcentral describes it as "partial 16S ribosomal RNA". It matches the Rfam family "Bacterial small subunit ribosomal RNA", at positions 524 to 776 of the family's 1533-position model. The record is from RNAcentral.
UACGUAGGGGGCAAGCGUUGUCCGGAUUUAUUGGGCGUAAAGAGCGUGUAGGCGGCUUGGAAGGUCAGCUGUGAAAACUCGAGGCUCAACCUCGAGACGUCGGUUGAAACCACCUGGCUAGAGUCCGGAAGAGGAGUGUGGAAUUCCCGGUGUAGCGGUGAAAUGCGCAGAUAUCGGGAAGAACACCCGUGGCGAAGGCGGCACACUGGACCACAUCUGACGCUGAGGCGCGAAAGCUAGGGGAGCAAACAGG